GAUGAACGCUGACAGAAUGCUUAACACAUGCAAGUCUUUGGCGAAGCUGUGCUUGCACAGCCUAGCCAAGGCGGACGGGUGAGUAACGCGUAAGGAACUUGCCCUGCAGUCAGGGAUAACAGACGGAAACGACUGAUAAGACCUGGUAAAGUCAGGCGGACUCAUGUCCAGCCUGAUGAAAAGAGAUGCUGCAGGAGAGCCUUGCGUCCUAUUAGCUUGUUGGUGGGGUAACGGCCCAACAAGGCGAUGAUAGGUAGCCGGCCUGAGAGGGUGGACGGCCACAGGGGGACUGAGAUACGGCCCUUACUCCUACGGGAGGCAGCAGUGGGGAAUAGUGGACAAGGGGGGCAACCCUGAUCCAGCAAUUCUGUGUGCAAGAUGAAGGUUUUCGGAUUGUAAAGUGCUUUCAGCAGGGAAGAAAAAAAUGACGGUACCUGCAGAAGAAGCGACGGCUAAAUACGUG
RNAcentral lists this ribosomal RNA (463 nucleotides) under uncultured bacterium. RNAcentral describes it as "partial 16S ribosomal RNA". It matches the Rfam family "Bacterial small subunit ribosomal RNA", at positions 28 to 507 of the family's 1533-position model. The record is from RNAcentral.